RNAcentral lists this long non-coding RNA (620 nucleotides) under Triticum aestivum (bread wheat). Its description in RNAcentral is "long non-coding RNA (TAES_LNC026506)". Lineage: Eukaryota; Viridiplantae; Streptophyta; Magnoliopsida; Poales; Poaceae. The record is from RNAcentral.
UUGGGUGUAACUGAGCUAUGUGCAUGUUUUGUGCAGAUUCAGCGCUUAUGCAUUAAAGAUUCUGCUGCGCUUGUUCACCGGCCAGAGAAAGAGUUCCGAAGCUUGGUAUCUUUGAGGAGUCUAAAGAUUAUAUCCUGCGAACAACUGGUUGGAUAUGCACAAGCUCCUGUAGCUGAGCCAUCAACAGCAUCAGAAUCCUCGAGUGAGCUCCUGCCUCGUCUCGAGUAUCUCAAUAUAUAUGGUUGUAAAAGCAUGGUUGAGAUCUUCAAAGUCCCUGCAUCCCUGAGGAAAAUGAGAAUUACUUGUUGCAGCAAGCUCAAGUUCAUAUUCAGCAGUAGGCCGCAGCAGGAGAGUCAGUGCCAUUGAGUAUUCAAGGGCCAUCAGCCAGUUCCAGGGAGGAGCAUAUUAUAUUUCCAUGUUUAGAAGAAAUAGACAUUCGGGAGUGUGACAGCUUAACAGGGGUCCUCGAUCUUCCGCCGUCCCUCAAGGAAAUAAUAUUUAAUGGGUGCGGUGAGUUGAGAUCAGUAGAAUUUCAAUCAGGAGAGAUGCCAUUAUUGGAGGUCCUUCACAUUGCACGAUGCAAAACCCUGUCAUCCCUACCAGACGGGCCGCAAGCAUAC